Molecule: ribosomal RNA, 497 nt
Filed under: uncultured bacterium
Lineage: Bacteria
Description: partial 16S ribosomal RNA
Rfam family: Bacterial small subunit ribosomal RNA
Source: RNAcentral
GAUGAACGCUGGCGGCGUGCCUAAUACAUGCAAGUCGAGCGAACAGACGAGGAGCUUGCUCCUCUGACGUUAGCGGCGGACGGGUGAGUAACACGUGGAUAACCUACCUAUAAGACUGGGAUAACUUCGGGAAACCGGAGCUAAUACCGUAUAAUAUAUUGAACCGCAUGGUUCAAUAGUGAAAGACGGUUUUGCUGUCACUUAUAGAUGGAUCCGCGCCGCAUUAGCUAGUUGGUAAGGUAACGGCUUACCAAGGCAACGAUGCGUAGCCGACCUGAGAGGGUGAUCGGCCACACUGGAACUGAGACACGGUCCAGACGACUACGGGAGGCAGCAGUAGGGAAUCUUACGCAAUGGGCGAAAGCCUGACGGAGCAACGCCGCGUGAGUGAUGAAGGUCUUCGGAUCGUAAAAAUCUGUUAUUAGGGAAGAACAAAUGUGUAAGUAACUAUGCACGUCUUGACGGUACCUAAUCAGAAAGCCACGGCUAACUACGUG